GGGGAGAGGACCUUCCACCCUACUACCUACCCAAAAAUACUUUCCAACCAAUUCAGGCAGAUUGACAGUAUGGGAAGUUCUUAAAUGGAUUAUUUUACUAUGUUUCCAAUACAACUUAUGAAUUUUAGUGUAUUUUAAUGGCUUUUGUCAAUGUAGAUAAUGAAAAAAUAUCGUCCUCUACUAUUAGUCACCAAAGAAGACAAAGGAAUGGCAGCUAUCCUUCCUUUCUCAAUCCCUUCCUUCAUUAUUUCUUUGUUUUCAAUUUCCUUCCCUCCAACCAAACAAAUUGCCAAGUGAUCCCCAACCUAACCAUCAUUUCAACUUCUCUAGGAUGGCAACCUCUUACAGAUUUUCCAAAUUAUUAAAACUAAUAAAACUCAACUCAACUCAACU
This 393-nucleotide unclassified non-coding RNA is filed under the name Hevea brasiliensis (rubber tree). Lineage: Eukaryota; Viridiplantae; Streptophyta; Magnoliopsida; Malpighiales; Euphorbiaceae. The record is from RNAcentral.